Molecule: ribosomal RNA, 371 nt
Filed under: uncultured Leptolinea sp.
Lineage: Bacteria; Bacillati; Chloroflexota; Anaerolineae; Anaerolineales; Anaerolineaceae
Description: bacterial SSU rRNA
Rfam family: Bacterial small subunit ribosomal RNA
Source: RNAcentral
AAGGACCGAAAGGUGACCGACCCUUCGGGGAGCUUGCACAGGUGCUGCAUGGCUGUCGUCAGCUCGUGUCGUGAGAUGUUCGGUUAAGUCCGCUAACGAGCGCAACCCUCGCUGUGUGUUAUAUGUGUCACACGGGACUGCCGGUCUUAAGCCGGAGGAAGGUGGGGAUGAUGUCAAGUCAGCAUGGCCUUUAUAUCCUGGGCUACACACACGCUACAAUGGCCAACACAAUAGGUUGCUAAGCCGCGAGGUGGCGCCAAUCCAUAAAGUUGGUCUCAGUUCAGAUUGUAGGCUGCAACCCGCCUGCAUGAAGAUGGAGUUGCUAGUAACCGCAGGUCAGCUAUACUGCGGUGAAUACGUUCCCGGGGCUU